RNAcentral lists this transfer-messenger RNA (333 nucleotides) under Clostridium tepidiprofundi DSM 19306. It matches the Rfam family "transfer-messenger RNA". Rfam says of the family: Bacterial tmRNA, also known as 10Sa RNA or SsrA, is named for its dual tRNA and mRNA-like properties. Its role is to liberate the mRNA from a stalled ribosome. The record is from Rfam by way of RNAcentral. Lineage: Bacteria; Bacillati; Bacillota; Clostridia; Eubacteriales; Clostridiaceae.
AAUGGUUUCGACGGGGAUGUACUUCAUUUAGGAAGCGAGCCGAGGGAAUCCUAGUCCCGCGUUAAAAAACCAGGAAUUAAAUAUAAACGCAGACGAUAAUUUUGCAUUAGCAGCUUAAUAUAGCUGCUCGUUCUACCUAGGAGGCCCACGGCCUGGGAUAGGGCGUCGACUAGUGGGAAAACGAGCCUAACAAAGCUUUGAGUUAGGAACGGAAUUCAUGAAGCUACCGAAAUGAAAAUCCUGUCAGUGGGAGUUUCAUAGAGGGAAUUUUAAAACACUGAAUGCGCUCGGAGAUGCCUAGAUGGGGUUGUUUUCGGACAGGGGUUCGAUUCA